AAAAGAGCAAUGAUGAAGAGUAGUACAUCUGUUUAAGGCUUUCAGAGAGUUUGUGAUCGGUGGAAACAAACAGCCUGGCAAAUGGAAUGGACUUUUGAGCUUCUGGUUCGAACUUAGAGUAGCUCCAGACGUGAUCCAGCGUUAAAGGAAUCCAUGCUGCAAAAUGACAUGGGCAAAGUGACUCAUUCGUGAGUAAUUAGGGUGGCAACACGGACCAUUCGUCCCUAUC
This 229-nucleotide non-coding RNA is filed under the name Mesobacillus subterraneus. RNAcentral describes it as "Bacillus subterraneus T-box sequence". It matches the Rfam family "T-box leader". From Rfam's summary of the family: Uncharged tRNA acts as the effector for transcription antitermination of genes in the T-box leader family. T-boxes are found upstream of many aminoacyl-tRNA synthetase genes and some amino acid biosynthetic genes usually in Gram-positive bacteria. Lineage: Bacteria; Bacillati; Bacillota; Bacilli; Caryophanales; Bacillaceae. The record is from RNAcentral.